CUAUAUACAGGGUGUACUGGUGCAGAGUCAAUGUGGAGGCUAUAUACAGGGUGUACUGGUACAGAGUCAAUGUGGAGGCUAUAUACAGGGGGUACUGGUACAGAGUCAAUGUGGAGGCUAUAUACAGGGGGUACCGGUACUGAGUCAAUGUGGAGGCUAUAUACAGGGUGUACUGGUGCAGAGUCAAUGUGGAGGCUAUAUACAGCGGGUACUGGUACAGAGUCAAUGUGGAGGCUAUAUACAGGGGGUACAGGUACAGAGUCAAUGUGGAGGCUAUAUACAGGGGGUACCGGUACAGAGUCAAUGUGGAGGCUAUAUACAGGGGGUACAGGUACAGAGUCAAUGUGGAGGCUAUAUACAGGGGUACUGGUACAGAGUCAAUGUGGAGGCUAUAUACAGGGGGUACCGGUACUGAGUCAAUGUGGAGGCUAUAUACAGGGGUACUGGUACAGAGUCAAUGUGGAGGCUAUAUACAGGGGGUACAGGUACAGAGUCAAUGUGGA
RNAcentral lists this long non-coding RNA (503 nucleotides) under Salmo salar (Atlantic salmon). RNAcentral describes it as "lncRNA (ENSSSAG00000090835.1, ENSSSAG00000097979.1)". The record is from RNAcentral. Lineage: Eukaryota; Metazoa; Chordata; Actinopteri; Salmoniformes; Salmonidae.